GAGUUUGAUCCUGGCUCAGGACGAACGCUGGCGGCGUGCUUAACACAUGCAAGUCGAACGAUGAAGCCUUUCGGGGUGGAUUAGUGGCGAACGGGUGAGUAACACGUGGGCAAUCUGCCCUUCACUCUGGGACAAGCCCUGGAAACGGGGUCUAAUACCGGAUAACACUCUGUCCCGCAUGGGACGGGGUUAAAAGCUCCGGCGGUGAAGGAUGAGCCCGCGGCCUAUCAGCUUGUUGGUGGGGUGAUGGCCUACCAAGGCGACGACGGGUAGCCGGCCUGAGAGGGCGACCGGCCACACUGGGACUGAGACACGGCCCAGACUCCUACGGGAGGCAGCAGUGGGGAAUAUUGCACAAUGGGCGAAAGCCUGAUGCAGCGACGCCGCGUGAGGGAUGACGGCCUUCGGGUUGUAAACCUCUUCAGCAGGGAAGAAGCGAAAGUGAC
RNAcentral lists this ribosomal RNA (446 nucleotides) under Streptomyces sp. 6BA6. RNAcentral's name for it is "bacterial SSU rRNA". It matches the Rfam family "Bacterial small subunit ribosomal RNA", at positions 9 to 473 of the family's 1533-position model. The record is from RNAcentral. Lineage: Bacteria; Bacillati; Actinomycetota; Actinomycetes; Kitasatosporales; Streptomycetaceae.